UUGUAUGUGGCAGGCUUUCAUU
This 22-nucleotide microRNA is filed under the name Oryctolagus cuniculus (rabbit). Its description in RNAcentral is "Ocu-Mir-493_5p (mature (co-guide))". The record is from RNAcentral. Lineage: Eukaryota; Metazoa; Chordata; Mammalia; Lagomorpha; Leporidae.